UACAGAGGUCUCAAGCGUUGUUCGGCUUCAUUGGGCGUAAAGGGUGCGUAGGUGGCUUGUUAAGUUGAAGGUGAAAUCUCGGGGCUCAACUCCGAAACUGCCUUCAAUACUGGCGAGCUCGAGGACUGUAGAGGAGAAUGGAAUUCACGGUGUAGCAGUGAAAUGCGUAGAUAUCGUGAGGAAGACCAGUUGCGAAGGCGGCUCUCUGGACCAGUACUGACGCUGAGGCACGAAAGCGCGGGGAGCAAACGGG
This 253-nucleotide ribosomal RNA is filed under the name uncultured bacterium. RNAcentral describes it as "partial 16S ribosomal RNA". It matches the Rfam family "Bacterial small subunit ribosomal RNA", at positions 524 to 776 of the family's 1533-position model. The record is from RNAcentral.